GGGGUGUCGGUACAGAGUCAAUGUGGAGGCUAUAUAUAGGGGGUGCCGGUACAGAGUCAAUGUGGAGGCUAUAUACAGGGGGGUGCCGGUACAGAGUCAAUGUGGAGGCUAUAUAUAGGGGGUGUCGGUACAGAGUCAAUGUGGAGGCUAUAUACAAGGGGGUACUGGUACAGAGUCAAUGUGGAGGCUAUAUACAGGGGGUACCGGUACAGAGUCAAUGUGGAGGCUAUAUACAGGGGGUGUCGGUACAGAGUCAAUGUGGAGGCUAUAUACAGGGGGUACUGGUACAGAGUCAAUGUGGAGGCUAUAUACAGGGGGUACCGGUACAGAGUCAAUGUGGAGGCUAUAUACAGGGGUACCG
Oncorhynchus tshawytscha (Chinook salmon) is the source of this 361-nucleotide long non-coding RNA. The record is from Ensembl. Lineage: Eukaryota; Metazoa; Chordata; Actinopteri; Salmoniformes; Salmonidae.